GCGGGUAUCGUAUAAGGGCUAUUAUCCCUCCCUUCCAAGGAGGUGAUACGGGUUCGAAUCCCGUUACCCGCUCCA
RNAcentral lists this transfer RNA (75 nucleotides) under Candidatus Moraniibacteriota bacterium. Its description in RNAcentral is "tRNA-Gly". It matches the Rfam family "tRNA". From Rfam's summary of the family: Transfer RNA (tRNA) molecules are approximately 80 nucleotides in length. Lineage: Bacteria; Candidatus Moraniibacteriota. The record is from RNAcentral.